CUAAGGAAUAUUCACGGAGACUACACAAUUUGUUUUUACUUUGUUCAGUUUUGAGAGGUUUCACUCUCAAUUUAAAACGGGGCCUUAGCUCAGCUGGGAGAGCGCCUGCUUUGCACGCAGGAGGUCAGCGGUUCGAUCCCGCUAGGCUCCAUUAACAACAUUAGUUGUUAAAUUUUGUUCAUUGAAAACUGGAUAUUUUGAAGUAAAUGUAAGUAAUACAAACCGAGAACACCGCGUUGAAUUUGAAAGCUGAACAAAUUGUUUAGCCUAAAGCAAAAUAGCGGACGGCCUAUAAAAUCUUUCGAUUUUAUGAGACGAUCGAUCUUUUUGCCGUACAGGCUGAUUGUGAGCUGGAUAGAGUUUUUUAAUAAGUUCAAUUGCUUUAUUUUCUUGAUCUAACUUCUAUCGCUAGAAGAAGGAUCAAAAGCCCAACCGUAAGGUUGAUAA
Molecule: transfer RNA, 447 nt
Filed under: Enterococcus faecium
Lineage: Bacteria; Bacillati; Bacillota; Bacilli; Lactobacillales; Enterococcaceae
Rfam family: tRNA (bases 79-151)
Source: RNAcentral